Molecule: long non-coding RNA, 987 nt
Filed under: Canis lupus familiaris (dog)
Lineage: Eukaryota; Metazoa; Chordata; Mammalia; Carnivora; Canidae
Description: lncRNA (ENSCAFG00030003218.1)
Source: RNAcentral
GCAAAUAUGCAUAUGUGUAUAUAUAUAUAUUUCUAUAUUCUUCUUAUAUAUAUUGUAUAUAUUCUUUUAUAUCUUCUAGACUGAAUAAAAGAGUAGUUCCAGUUCUAUGAUGAAUGGAGCAAUAGAAGCUGUAUUCAUCUGGUUGUGUAACUGGUGCUCAGCAGCAGCUGUAGCAACUGUCAACAUCUGUCAAUCUCACCUUGACUUGAUGGUCAAAGAUCAUCCUCAGACCAGAAACCUGCCAGCAUGGAAGCCUGGCUGAUUCAGUCCUCAGAGAUCAUUCUCCUAGAGCACAUGGCAGGACAGAGAAUGGAUGAAACUUAUGUUGAAAGUCUAUUUUAUUUAGUAUAUUAUACCCAAAACAUUCCAUUCAACAUGGAAGCAAUAUAAACAUUAUUAUUUUGAUGCUUUCCAUUCUUUGGGACUCAGUCUUCAAAUCCAGUAUGUGUUUUACAUUCCCAGUGCUUCCCAAUUCAGACCAGCCACAUUUCCUGGGUUUAUUAGCCAUCUGUGGCCAGUAGCUAGCACACCGGAGGGUAUAGUUCUAACCUAUUGUCAGUAUCAUUGGAUUUAAAAACUAAAACAAAAAAAAAAUCAUUCAAUAAAAUUACAUCUUCAUAUAGAAUAAUUAUAUGAGGAUAUGCAUCAGAGUCUUCAAGAGGCCCAAACCCAUGUUCUGGGAUUUAGGGUGUUCUUGGGGAAGGUCAUCAAAAAAGAUGUGAUCACUGAUUGAAACGUGAGCGGGACCCAGGCACUCCCCAUCCUUGCAGUGUGGGUUUUACUUGACUCUCUCACUUCCAGAGGCUGCUGCAAGAUCAUAGUCUUGAGAUAGUGGUUGAGAACACCUGUGCGGUAUUCGUGACUAAACCCAGUUAGAGUCUCUUUACAAACUUUUAAGAUUUGGUAGGCUGGUGUGGGGAUCCAUUUGUCUUGUGGCUGCUCAAGACAAGCCUUGUAUGGAAGUUCCCUUUACUUGUUAAAACUGCC